Molecule: ribosomal RNA, 2857 nt
Filed under: Salmonella enterica subsp. enterica serovar Weltevreden
Lineage: Bacteria; Pseudomonadati; Pseudomonadota; Gammaproteobacteria; Enterobacterales; Enterobacteriaceae
Description: bacterial LSU rRNA
Rfam family: Bacterial large subunit ribosomal RNA
Source: RNAcentral
ACUAAGCGUACACGGUGGAUGCCCUGGCAGUCAGAGGCGAUGAAGGGCGUGCUAAUCUGCGAUAAGCGCCGGUAAGGUGAUAUGAACCGUUAUAACCGGCGAUACCCGAAUGGGGAAACCCAGUGUGAUUCGUCACACUAUCAUUAACUGAAUCCAUAGGUUAAUGAGGCGAACCGGGGGAACUGAAACAUCUAAGUACCCCGAGGAAAAGAAAUCAACCGAGAUUCCCCCAGUAGCGGCGAGCGAACGGGGAGGAGCCCAGAGCCUGAAUCAGCAUGUGUGUUAGUGGAAGCGUCUGGAAAGGCGCGCGAUACAGGGUGACAGCCCCGUACACAAAAGCGCAUGUGCUGUGAGCUCGAUGAGUAGGGCGGGACACGUGGUAUCCUGUCUGAAUAUGGGGGGACCAUCCUCCAAGGCUAAAUACUCCUGACUGACCGAUAGUGAACCAGUACCGUGAGGGAAAGGCGAAAAGAACCCCGGCGAGGGGAGUGAAAAAGAACCUGAAACCGUGUACGUACAAGCAGUGGGAGCNGCUUUGGGGUGGGGUGACUGCGUACCUUUUGUAUAAUGGGUCAGCGACUUAUAUUCUGUAGCAAGGUUAACCGAAUAGGGGAGCCGGAGGGAAACCGAGUCUUAAUUGGGCGUUAAGUUGCAGGGUAUAGACCCGAAACCCGGUGAUCUAGCCAUGGGCAGGUUGAAGGUUGGGUAACACUAACUGGAGGACCGAACCGACUAAUGUUGAAAAAUUAGCGGAUGACCUGUGGCUGGGGGUGAAAGGCCAAUCAAACCGGGAGAUAGCUGGUUCUCCCCGAAAGCUAUUUAGGUAGCGCCUCGUGAAUUCAUCUCCGGGGGUAGAGCACUGUUUCGGCUAGGGGGCCAUCCCGGCUUACCAACCCGAUGCAAACUGCGAAUACCGGAGAAUGUUAUCACGGGAGACACACGGCGGGUGCUAACGUCCGUCGUGAAGAGGGAAACAACCCAGACCGCCAGCUAAGGUCCCAAAGUCAUGGUUAAGUGGGAAACGAUGUGGGAAGGCCCAGACAGCCAGGAUGUUGGCUUAGAAGCAGCCAUCAUUUAAAGAAAGCGUAAUAGCUCACUGGUCGAGUCGGCCUGCGCGGAAGAUGUAACGGGGCUAAACCAUGCACCGAAGCUGCGGCAGCGACGCUUAUGCGUUGUUGGGUAGGGGAGCGUUCUGUAAGCCUGUGAAGGUGGCCUGUGAGGGUUGCUGGAGGUAUCAGAAGUGCGAAUGCUGACAUAAGUAACGAUAAAGCGGGUGAAAAGCCCGCUCGCCGGAAGACCAAGGGUUCCUGUCCAACGUUAAUCGGGGCAGGGUGAGUCGACCCCUAAGGCGAGGCCGAAAGGCGUAGUCGAUGGGAAACGGGUUAAUAUUCCCGUACUUGGUGUUACUGCGAAGGGGGGACGGAGAAGGCUAUGUUGGCCGGGCGACGGUUGUCCCGGUUUAAGCGUGUAGGUGUGUGUUCCAGGUAAAUCCGGUUCACUUUAACACUGAGGCGUGAUGACGAGGCACUACGGUGCUGAAGCAACAAAUGCCCUGCUUCCAGGAAAAGCCUCUAAGCAUCAGGUAACAUCAAAUCGUACCCCAAACCGACACAGGUGGUCAGGUAGAGAAUACCAAGGCGCUUGAGAGAACUCGGGUGAAGGAACUAGGCAAAAUGGUGCCGUAACUUCGGGAGAAGGCACGCUGACACGUAGGUGAAGUGAUUUACUCAUGGAGCUGAAGUCAGUCGAAGAUACCAGCUGGCUGCAACUGUUUAUUAAAAACACAGCACUGUGCAAACACGAAAGUGGACGUAUACGGUGUGACGCCUGCCCGGUGCCGGAAGGUUAAUUGAUGGGGUCAGCGCAAGCGAAGCUCCUGAUCGAAGCCCCGGUAAACGGCGGCCGUAACUAUAACGGUCCUAAGGUAGCGAAAUUCCUUGUCGGGUAAGUUCCGACCUGCACGAAUGGCGUAAUGAUGGCCAGGCUGUCUCCACCCGAGACUCAGUGAAAUUGAACUCGCUGUGAAGAUGCAGUGUACCCGCGGCAAGACGGAAAGACCCCGUGAACCUUUACUAUAGCUUGACACUGAACAUUGAGCCUUGAUGUGUAGGAUAGGUGGGAGGCUUUGAAGCGUGGACGCCAGUCUGCGUGGAGCCGACCUUGAAAUACCACCCUUUAAUGUUUGAUGUUCUAACGUGGACCCGUGAUCCGGGUUGCGGACAGUGUCUGGUGGGUAGUUUGACUGGGGCGGUCUCCUCCUAAAGAGUAACGGAGGAGCACGAAGGUUGGCUAAUCCUGGUCGGACAUCAGGAGGUUAGUGCAAUGGCAUAAGCCAGCUUGACUGCGAGCGUGACGGCGCGAGCAGGUGCGAAAGCAGGUCAUAGUGAUCCGGUGGUUCUGAAUGGAAGGGCCAUCGCUCAACGGAUAAAAGGUACUCCGGGGAUAACAGGCUGAUACCGCCCAAGAGUUCAUAUCGACGGCGGUGUUUGGCACCUCGAUGUCGGCUCAUCACAUCCUGGGGCUGAAGUAGGUCCCAAGGGUAUGGCUGUUCGCCAUUUAAAGUGGUACGCGAGCUGGGUUUAGAACGUCGUGAGACAGUUCGGUCCCUAUCUGCCGUGGGCGCUGGAGAACUGAGGGGGGCUGCUCCUAGUACGAGAGGACCGGAGUGGACGCAUCACUGGUGUUCGGGUUGUCAUGCCAAUGGCACUGCCCGGUAGCUAAAUGCGGAAGAGAUAAGUGCUGAAAGCAUCUAAGNGUCUCCUGAAGGAACGUUGAAGACGACGACGUUGAUAGGCCGGGUGUGUAAGCGCAGCGAUGCGUUGAGCUAACCGGUACUAAUGAACCGUGAGGCUUAACC